RNAcentral lists this transfer RNA (66 nucleotides) under human gut metagenome. It matches the Rfam family "tRNA". From Rfam's summary of the family: Transfer RNA (tRNA) molecules are approximately 80 nucleotides in length. Their secondary structure includes four short double-helical elements and three loops (D, anti-codon, and T loops). The record is from RNAcentral.
CGGGUAGCUCAGUUGGUAGAGCAAAGGACUGAAAAUCCUUGUGUCGGCGGUUCGAAACCGUCCCCG